RNAcentral lists this ribosomal RNA (1343 nucleotides) under metagenome. RNAcentral describes it as "bacterial LSU rRNA". It matches the Rfam family "Bacterial large subunit ribosomal RNA", at positions 1564 to 2912 of the family's 2925-position model. The record is from RNAcentral.
UGAGUACGAGCGGCUACGGCCGCGAAGUGGAUGAUGUCAAGCUUCCAAGAAAAGCCCUAUACCCGUUAAGGCAUGAUGGCCUGUACCCGAAACCGACACAGGUGGGGUGGUAGAGAAUACCGAGGGGCGCGAGGUAACUCUCUCUAAGGAACUCGGCAAAAUGGCCCCGUAACUUCGGGAGAAGGGGUGCCACCGCGAGGUGGUCGCAGUGAAGAGGCCCAGGCGACUGUUUACCAAAAACACAGGUCUCCGCUAAGUCGCAAGACGAUGUAUGGGGGCUGACGCCUGCCCAGUGCCGGAAGGUUAAGGAAGCUGGUCAGCGCAAGCGAAGCUGGCGACUGAAGCCCCGGUGAACGGCGGCCGUAACAAUAACGGUCCUAAGGUAGCGAAAUUCCUUGUCGGGUAAGUUCCGACCCGCACGAAAGGCGUAACGAUCUGGGCGCUGUCUCGGAGAGAGGCUCGGCGAAAUAGAAUUGUCUGUGAAGAUGCGGACUACGUGCACCCGGACAGAAAGACCCUAUGAAGCUUUACUGUAGCUUGGUAUUGUGCUCGGGCUCGGAAUGCGCAGGAUAGGUGGGAGGCUUUGAUCCAUUGCUUGCGGGUGAUGGUGAGCCACUGGUGAGAUACCACUCUUUCCGAGCUAGAGUUCUAACAGCAACCCGUUAUCCGGGUGCUGGACAGUAUCAGGUGGGCAGUUUGACUGGGGCGGUCGCCUCCUAAAAGGUAACGGAGGCGCGCAAAGGUCUGCUCAGGCUGGUUGGAAAUCAGCCGACGAGUGUAAAAGCAGAAGCAGGCUUGACUGUGAGACCUACAAGUCGAACAGGGAGGAAACUCGGCUUUAGUGAUCCGACGGUUCUGCGUGGAAGGGCCGUCGCUCAACGGAUAAAAGUUACUCUAGGAUAACAGGCUGAUCUCCCCCAAGAGUUCACAUCGACGGGGAGGUUUGGCACCUCGAUGUCGGCUCAUCGCAACCUGGGGCUGAAGUCGGUCCCAAGGGUUGGGCUGUUCGCCCAUUAAAGCGGUACGCGAGCUGGGUUCAGAACGUCGUGAGACAGUUCGGUCCAUAUCCGGUGCACGCGCAGGAAUAUUGAGAGGAUUUCUCCCUAGUACGAGAGGACCGGGAGGAACGCACCUCUGGUGUGCCAGUUAUCGUGCCAACGGUAAACGCUGGGUAGCCAUGUGCGGAGUGGAUAACCGCUGAAAGCAUCUAAGUGGGAAGCCCACCUCAAGAUGAGUAUUCCCAUGGCAUAAGCCAGUAAGGUCACGGGAAGAACACCCGUUGAUAGGCUCUACGUGGAAGCGCAGUAAUGUGUGAAGCGGAGGAGUACUAAUAGACCGAGGGC